GAUGAACGCUGGCGGCGUGCCUAAUACAUGCAAGUCGAGCGAAUGGAUUAAGAGCUUGCUCUUAUGAAGUUAGCGGCGGACGGGUGAGUAACACGUGGGUAACCUGCCCAUAAGACUGGGAUAACUCCGGGAAACCGGGGCUAAUACCGGAUAACAUUUUGAACCGCAUGGUUCGAAAUUGAAAGGCGGCUUCGGCUGUCACUUAUGGAUGGACCCGCGUCGCAUUAGCUAGUUGGUGAGGUAACGGCUCACCAAGGCAGCGAUGCGUAGCCGACCUGGGAGGGUGAUCGGCCACACUGGGACUGAGACACGGCCCAGACGCCUGCGGGAGGCAGCAGUAGGGAAUCUUCCGCAAUGGACGAAAGUCUGACGGAGCAACGCCGCGUGAGUGAUGAAGGCUUUCGGGUCGUAAAACUCUGUUGUUAGGGAAGAACAAGUGCUAGUUGAAUAAGCUGACACCUUGACGGUACCUAACCAGAAAGCCACGGCUACUACGUGCCAGCCGCCGCAGUAA
RNAcentral lists this ribosomal RNA (514 nucleotides) under uncultured bacterium. RNAcentral describes it as "partial 16S ribosomal RNA". It matches the Rfam family "Bacterial small subunit ribosomal RNA", at positions 28 to 523 of the family's 1533-position model. The record is from RNAcentral.